UUACUGUGUUUUUCAGAAUCAGAAGUUCAAAUUUCAACAACUAAUCAAGCUCCUACUCUACUGAAAGAACCAGAAGCUGCUUUGGCAAAACCAAAACAAGCCACUAAAAAGAAAGAACCAGCAGUGCCUAAAGAAAAAGCCAAAGUAGCUCCUACAAAGAAGGACCCCACAGUUACUAAAGCCAAAGCAAAACCUUCAGUGGCAAAGAAAGAGCCAACAGCUGUGAAAGAGAAGUCUAAAAGGACAGAGCGAAUGAUCUCUAAAGAAAAGGCUAAACCUAUCUCUACUAAGAAAGAAGAGAAAGCUGGAAAAGAAGUGAAGCCCAAAGCAGAGGUCAAAAAGAAGGCUGCACCAACACCGAGAGUCAAUCAAGCCACUGAAGAAGUUGUGGCUGAGACACCAGCACCAGCAAAACUUGGGAGAACUUCAAAAACUUCCAGGUGA
RNAcentral lists this long non-coding RNA (444 nucleotides) under Carassius auratus (goldfish). Its description in RNAcentral is "lncRNA (ENSCARG00000033437.1)". The record is from RNAcentral. Lineage: Eukaryota; Metazoa; Chordata; Actinopteri; Cypriniformes; Cyprinidae.